This 420-nucleotide ribosomal RNA is filed under the name uncultured bacterium. Its description in RNAcentral is "partial 16S ribosomal RNA". It matches the Rfam family "Bacterial small subunit ribosomal RNA", at positions 359 to 773 of the family's 1533-position model. The record is from RNAcentral.
AAAAUGGGAAAUUGGGCAAAAGCCGAUUCAGGCCUGGCCCGGUGGUGAAAGAAGUCUUUCGGAUGUAAAAGCACUUUAGGUGGGAGGGAGGGGAGUUAGUUUAUACCUUUCUUUUUUGACGUUACCGACAGAAUAAGCACCGGCUAACUUUCGGCCAGCAGCCGCGGUAAUACGAAGGGUGCAAGCGUUAAGCGGAAUUACUGGGCGUAAAGCGCGCGUAGGUGGUUUGUUAAGUUGGAAGUGAAAGCCCCGGGCUCAACCUGGGAACUGCUUUCAUAACUGCUGAGCUGGAGUACGGUAGAGGGUAGUGGAAUUUCCUGUGUAGCGGUGAAAUGCGUAGAUAUAGGAAGGAACACCAGUGGCGAAGGCGACUACCUGGACUGAUACUGACACUGAGGUGCGAAAGCGUGGGGAGCAAAC